This 497-nucleotide ribosomal RNA is filed under the name uncultured bacterium. RNAcentral describes it as "partial 16S ribosomal RNA". It matches the Rfam family "Bacterial small subunit ribosomal RNA", at positions 28 to 507 of the family's 1533-position model. The record is from RNAcentral.
GAUGAACGCUGGCGGCGUGCCUAAUACAUGCAAGUCGAGCGAACAGACGAGGAGCUUGCUCCCCUGACGUUAGCGGCGGACGGGUGAGUAACACGUGGAUAACCUACCUAUAAGACUGGGAUAACUUCGGGAAACCGGAGCUAAUACCGGAUAAUAUAUUGAACCGCAUGGUUCAAUAGUGAAAGACGGUUUUGCUGUCUCUUAUAGAUGGAUCCGCGCCGCAUUAGCUAGUUGGUAAGGUAACGGCUUACCAAGGCAACGAUGCGUAGCCGACCUGAGAGGGUGAUCGGCCACACUGGAACUGAGACACGGUCCAGACUCCUACGGGAGGCAGCAGUAGGGAAUCUUCCGCAAUGGGCGAAAGCCUGACGGAGCAACGCCGCGUGAGUGAUGAAGGUCUUCGGAUCGUAAAACUCUGUUAUUAGGGAAGAACAAAUGUGUAAGUAACUAUGCACGUCUUGACGGUACCUAAUCAGAAAGCCACGGCUAACUACGUG